RNAcentral lists this unclassified non-coding RNA (273 nucleotides) under soil metagenome. RNAcentral's name for it is "partial contains small subunit ribosomal RNA, internal transcribed spacer 1, and 5.8S ribosomal RNA". The record is from RNAcentral.
UUUCCGUAGGUGAACCUGCGGAAGGAUCAUUGAAUCUAUCAAACACACAUCCGGUGACUUUGCGUCGGUUGGUCCAGCCGGGGCCCAGGAGGAACGGGCCUUUCUCGGAAGGCUCGUCCCUCUCUGGGCCCUGCCGCUGGCCAGCCCUAACCCCCCUCACACACCCCAAACACACAACACACGUUUCUGAAGCUGAACAGUGACAGCCGGCGCCGCCGCCUGUUCACGACCCAUAACCAAAGACAACUCUCAACAACGGAUAUCUUGGCUCCC